AGAGUUUGAUCCUGGCUCAGGACGAACGCUGGCGGCGUGCCUAAUACAUGCAAGUCGAGCGGACAGGUGGGAGCUUGCUCCCUGAUGUUAGCGGCGGACGGGUGAGUAACACGUGGGUAACCUGCCUGUAAGACUGGGAUAACUCCGGGAAACCGGGGCUAAUACCGGAUGGUUGUUUGAACCGCAUGGUUCAAACAUAAAAGGUGGCUUCGGCUACCACUUACAGAUGGACCCGCGGCGCAUUAGCUAGUUGGUGAGGUAACGGCUCACCAAGGCAACGAUGCGUAGCCGACCUGAGAGGGUGAUCGGCCACACUGGGACUGAGACACGGCCCAGACUCCUACGGGAGGCAGCAGUAGGGAAUCUUCCGCAAUGGACGAAAGUCUGACGGAGCAACGCCGCGUGAGUGAUGAAGGUUUUCGGAUCGUAAAGCUCUGUUGUUAGGGAAGAACAAGUACCGUUCGAACAGGGCGGUACCUUGACGGUACCUAACCAGAAAGCCACGGCUAACUACGUGCCAGCAGCCGCGGUAAUACGUAGGUGGCAAGCGUUUUCCGGAAUUAUUGGGCGUAAAGGGCUCGCAGGCGGUUUCUUAAGUCUGAUGUGAAAGCCCCCGGCUCAACCGGGGAGGGUCAUUGGAAACUGGGGAACUUGAGUGCAGAAGAGGAGAGUGGAAUUCCACGUGUAGCGGUGAAAUGCGUAGAGAUGUGGAGGAACACCAGUGGCGAAGGCGACUCUCUGGUCUGUAACUGACGCUGAGGAGCGAAAGCGUGGGGAGCGAACAGGAUUAGAUACCCUGGUAGUCCACGCCGUAAACGAUGAGUGCUAAGUGUUAGGGGGUUUCCGCCCCUUAGUGCUGCAGCUAACGCAUUAAGCACUCCGCCUGGGGAGUACGGUCGCAAGACUGAAACUCAAAGGAAUUGACGGGGGCCCGCACAAGCGGUGGAGUAUGUGGUUUAAUUCGAAGCAACGCGAAGAACCUUACCAGGUCUUGACAUCCUCUGACAAUCCUAGAGAUAGGACGUCCCCUUCGGGGGCAGAGUGACAGGUGGUGCAUGGUUGUCGUCAGCUCGUGUCGUGAGAUGUUGGGUUAAGUCCCGCAACGAGCGCAACCCUUGAUCUUAGUUGCCAGCAUUCAGUUGGGCACUCUAAGGUGACUGCCGGUGACAAACCGGAGGAAGGUGGGGAUGACGUCAAAUCAUCAUGCCCCUUAUGACCUGGGCUACACACGUGCUACAAUGGACAGAACAAAGGGCAGCGAAACCGCGAGGUUAAGCCAAUCCCACAAAUCUGUUCUCAGUUCGGAUCGCAGUCUGCAACUCGACUGCGUGAAGCUGGAAUCGCUAGUAAUCGCGGAUCAGCAUGCCGCGGUGAAUACGUUCCCGGGCCUUGUACACACCGCCCGUCACACCACGAGAGUUUGUAACACCCGAAGUCGGUGAGGUAACCUUUUAGGAGCCAGCCGCCGAAGGUGGGACAGAUGAUUGGGGUGAAGUCGUAACAGGGU
Molecule: ribosomal RNA, 1507 nt
Filed under: metagenome
Description: bacterial SSU rRNA
Rfam family: Bacterial small subunit ribosomal RNA
Source: RNAcentral